GUGCUCACUUCUGCAACACAUAUACUAAAACUGGAACAAUAUACAGAAGAUUAGCAUGGCCCCUGGGCAAGGAUGACAUGCAAAUUCAUGAAGUGUUCCAUAUUAAA
RNAcentral lists this small nuclear RNA (107 nucleotides) under Piliocolobus tephrosceles (Ugandan red Colobus). Lineage: Eukaryota; Metazoa; Chordata; Mammalia; Primates; Cercopithecidae. The record is from RNAcentral.